AAGAAUUUAAAAUAUUACAUUAAUUUAGUUGAUGAAGCAAUGGCAGGUUUGAGAGGAUUGACUCAUUUUGAAAGACGAUCUACUGUGGGUAAAAUGCUAUCAAAUAGCGUCUCAUGCUACAAAGAAAUUAUUCAUGAAAGGAAGAGUCACCUGAUGUAGCAAACCUCAUUGUUGUUUUAUUUUAAAAACUUGCCACAGCCACCCCAGCCUUCAGUAACCUCCACCCCGAGGAGUUGGCAGCCAUCCACACUGAGGCAGGACCCUUCACCAGCAAAAAGAUGAUGACUCUCUGAAAGCUCAGAUGAUGGUUAGCACUUUUUAGCAAUAAAGUAUUCUUAAAUUAAGGUACGUACUUUUUUUUUUUUUUUAGAUAUAAUGCUAUUGCACAGUUGAGAGACUGUAGUAAAGUGUAAAUACAACUUUUACAUGCACCGAGAAACCGAAACAUUCAUUUGAUGUGCUUUAUUGUGGUGGUCUGGAGUUUGCACAAUAUUUGCAAGGUUUGCCCAUAUAACCAUGAAAUGAAUUGCCCAGAGCUCAUAAGUAGUGGAGUAGAUUGCGGCUCCAGUUCAGACUUUCCACCGUACCAUGCCACCUCUAUAUUUCCACCAUUUAAUUAGGGAGUUCCUUUCUCCCCUGGUUUCUUACAAUCCCUAUUUUGUAUGAUUUUCUUCCCAGUGGCACAUAGGACUAAACAUCGUUUGAAAAAAGAAAUCACUCUGUUGAUCUUUUGAGUAGAGUUAAUACUCUAGUAGAGAGGGAGAAAGCACUUCUCAAUUCUUUUGCUCUGUUGGUAGCAACAGUGCAGUCUGAGUUCUUGAAUAGUCUAGUCCAGAUUUCUGUUGACUAACACAUUCUCAUUAAAAACCACUUAUCUGAAUUCCUUUACUGAGGUUACUGCCCCUUUUGUGCAUUUGUGAUAGGGAGUUGCUUUGGGGAUUUGUUUUCCUGCUUGCACCUGUUUCAUAUCUUCAGCACACAGCCAGUCCAUGCCAGCACUGUACAGCAACCUUCCACAUAUUAUAGAUGCACUCAAAACCACGAGUGGUUUCCUUAAGGAAAAGCUUCUUUGCUGACGUGAGACCGAUAGUUCAACCUCUCAAAAUAUCUAGCUGUGGCCAUGUCCAUAUAAUUAAUACUGCUUUGAAAGAAUAGUUGAGCAAACAUCUUUCCUGGUCUGUGAUUAAACUUGAGAGACUGUAUAGUUCACUUGGGAGGCAGGAGUUCCACUCCAUAUUAUAUUGUAAAGGCUUAUCCAUAUGGAAAUAUGGAGAGCUAGUUAUCCACUUUCACAACUGUGAAUUGUUUGUACACCUAUUGGUGUACAUUUAGAUUUUUUUCCAGUUUCCUAAAAAAAGGUCUGUUUGUUUUGCUAUUACAAACUGUUGCAGCGUAUAUUCUUGUUCAUGUCUACUUGUGAACAUUUCCAAGAAUUUUUCUAGAGUGCAUGCUAAGAAACAGAAUUGAUGAUUCACUGUGUGUUUCUCAUCUUUACCUUUAUUAGCUAUUGCCAAAUUGUGCUCCAGUUUACACUCUGAGUAGCAGUAGAUGGAGGAGACACUUUCUUUGACCACACAUCUUCAUUAGCCUUUGGUUUUAUCGGAUAUUUAUUUAUUUAUUUUUGCCUUCCUAAUGGGUGUGAAAUAUUCCACUCUAGUUUUGAAAUACUUCAAGUAUUUGAUAAUGGCUGACUUGGUAGCUCUGUGAAAAUAGGGCUUGUUCUAAAUGAAAUAGAUAAUGCAGGAGAAGAAUUUAUUCAAUGAGGUCCCAAUGACGGUGGUCAAGGAAACCAGUUGCUGCCAGUCUUUGAGCGGUUGUAUUAAAAAAUAAAAAUGUAAAUAAAUAAAUAAAUAAAUAAAUAAAUAAAUAAAAAUAAAUAAAUAAUAAAAUGUCACCGGUGUUCUUAUUUUAACAAGUUAUAAACAGUUCUUCCCCUUUUCCUAUGCUACUGACCUUUUUCUCUUCAGACUGGGUUAUUCAUUUGGUACUAGCAAUAAAUAAGUCAAGACUGACACCCAUCUGCAUGAGGAAAGUAGUUGCUUAGAAAUGGGAAGAGUGGGGGUGGGAUGCUGUGAUUGGCACAGCCACUUAAGCACAGGACUUCUGGUUUCAGCUCAGGUUGUAAUAUGGGGCUCCACUUGGGCUCUGCACUCAGAUCAGAGUUUCUUGAGUUUCUCCCUCUCCAUCUGCCCCUUCUACUUGUAUUCUUUUGCUCUCCAAAAUAAGUACAUCUUUAAAAAAAAUGGAGAAACGUGAAGACUGAAUUUAAGCAGUGUGCUGAAUUUCCUUGGACAUGCCUGAAAAUGUUCUUGGAUGCUUGGGGUAGGGUGGAGGAGCUGGCCCCUGCCCUGCAGAGGCAGGCAGGAAAAUGGGCCCUGUGAGGCUGGGCCAGGCUCUGGAGAAAAGUUCCAGCCCCCAGGCCUGAUUAGUUAGUUGCUCUUAAUCUGUGUUUAUUUUCCCUUCGUUACCUCUGAGCCUUUAAUUGAGUCUUAUUUCAUAACUUUAGCCUUCGUGCUGCUCUACUACAGGGAAUAAAGGAAAGAGUCUUAAGUACACUUGAGUCUGACUUGUGGAAGAGCAGAAGUGGCCCUGGAGACAAAGAUGGCAACAGUGAUGGUGACAAGACUCCAAGGGAAAGGUGAAUCUUGAGGGGACUGAAAUCUGGUUAUCAAUUCAGGCUCCUGUUCUUAUGUAGAGAUCCUACCUCCAUUCUGAUCUUGGGUGGGUUAUAAAGGGAGUUUCCCUCAUCGGCUUCUAGGCAGGUGAAUCCUGGCUGACUCACUUGUGAGACAAGCCCCCUGUUCCUUCAUUUCCAGGGAGUUGGCAUGAUGCCGCAGAAAGAGCAGAGCAUGCUCUUUGAAGGUGGCAAACGAGUUUACAUCCAUGCUGGGAAAGGUUUCUGCACAUGGGCAAUUUACUUCUGCUCCCUGAGCCUCCAAUUCCUCAGCUCUGCGAAGAGGAUAAGAGUGCCUGCCUUCGAGAGUUACAGUGAGGAUGAAAUAUGAUCGCUUAGGUGAAAGCACCUCCUAUAACAUCUGGAACACAGCAGACAUCGAAGAAGACAUUCAUUCCCUUCCUCCCCUACCCCCACUCCUCUGUCUCUGAGAGCAGCUUUCCCCACAACCCCCGGCCCCCCAAGGGUCCUUCGUGCUGGCCCCGCACCUCUCGUGAGCCUCCAUGCCUUCAUAAAAGUUGACCUCUCCCAGGCCUUGUCUCUGCUAUUGGGUAACAAUUGACUUACGAUGAUUAGCUCCAUGUCGUACACUCUUAUUGACAACUUAGGGGACCACAGGAGAUUUAUGGGGGAGAUGCACUAUCUGGGGGACAGUAGGAAUCUAGCAGUAAUUAACACUAACCUCCAGAUCAUACCACUUACCUUCAGGGAAAGCCUUAGCGUGGGGUUUGGAAGUAAAUGGAUUUUUCUCUGAAAGCCCCCAAGGAGCAAUCACUGUCCUCACUGCCCUUAAGAUAACUGCCUCUCCUCACUGCUGGAAGAGAUUUAGGACCAACAGAUGAGAUUACAAUUAUCCAUGACACUCUUUGGCCUUAAAUUAAAAUGCUUUCAAUGGUGGGUGGCUGGCUGAGGUGGCUGGCUCUGUAACCUUCCGUUGUUCAGUUAGCAGUUCAGAUUUGCCCCUGCAGCAGCAUUCUCCUUUAGGGAGGAAGGCGGCCUGUGAUGAGGAUAAGCGGGGGCCUCAGCCCUGCGCCUAACCACAGACACUCAGCUGGCUGGAAACAUCCCUCCCUCUGGCACCACUGCGCCUUCCUGACACUCUCAGUGGAGAAACUGAAGAUCAAACAAGUUUAAUCUCUGACCCCCACACUGGCCACCUAGCAGGAGUCUGUCUUUAGGGCAAGGGGGAUCUGAAAUAAUUCAUGUUGCCCUCUCCACAGUGUUCUUUCUCCACAGGAGGCUGUUGGCUGCUUAGGGCUAUCAAUCUGACAUACUUCUCCACUUCUGCACGGAGACUAAAAUACCAUUUAAGUCUUAUUCCAACAUUUCUCAAAUCAUGUGGGUAUUACCAAGCAUGAAAUCAUCAUCUAAAAACUCAAUUUUAAAGAGCUGGUUCUUUGGGAAAAAUAAGAAAGAACAUUUCCCCCUGUUUACUCUGAGAUUUGUUUUUUUUUUUUUUUUCCAACAGUGUGGUUAUUGUGUUUUUCUUAAUCUUCGGAGAUUAUGC
Molecule: long non-coding RNA, 4181 nt
Filed under: Canis lupus familiaris (dog)
Lineage: Eukaryota; Metazoa; Chordata; Mammalia; Carnivora; Canidae
Description: lncRNA (ENSCAFG00845013575.1)
Source: RNAcentral